GACGAACGCUGGCGGCGUGCUUAACACAUGCAAGUCGAACGGUGAAGCGCCUUCCUUUUUGGUGGGUGUGGAUGAGUGGCGAACGGGUGAGUAACACGUGAGUAACCUGCCCCCUUCUUCUGGAUAACCGCAUGAAAGUGUGGCUAAUACGGGAUAUUCUGGGUCUGUCGCAUGAUGGGUCUGGGAAAGAUAUUGUUUCGGUGGGGGAUGGGCUCGCGGCCUAUCAGCUUGUUGGUGGGGUGAUGGCCUACCAAGGCGGGGACGGGUAGCCGGCUUGAGGGGGUGGACGGUCCCACUGGGACUGAGACACGGCCCGGACUCCUACGGGAGGCAGCAGUGUGGAAUAUUGCACAAUGGGCGCAAGCCUGAUGCAGCGACGCCGCGUGAGGGAUGGAGGCCUUCGGGUUGUGAACCUCUUUCGCCAGUGAAGCAGGCCUGCCUCGUUUGUGGGUGGGUUGACGGUAGCUGGAUAAGAAGCGCCGGCUAACUACGUG
RNAcentral lists this ribosomal RNA (494 nucleotides) under uncultured bacterium. RNAcentral's name for it is "partial 16S ribosomal RNA". It matches the Rfam family "Bacterial small subunit ribosomal RNA", at positions 28 to 507 of the family's 1533-position model. The record is from RNAcentral.